Molecule: long non-coding RNA, 635 nt
Organism: Carassius carassius (crucian carp)
Lineage: Eukaryota; Metazoa; Chordata; Actinopteri; Cypriniformes; Cyprinidae
Exons: 3
Source: RefSeq, a predicted model, not a curated record
GCAGGAGCUAAAAGGCACAGUAGGAGAAAUAAAGAUGUGCAUUUCAAAGCACAAGCCUGACACUCUGCAGACCUCAUCUUCAUAAAACAUCAGUUCUCAAAUUCAAGAACCAUGCUCUGCUCAAGGAAGUAAGCAGGUAGUCGAUUACAUCAAUUUGGGGGAGGGGGUGCGGAUCAAGAGAAGCCAGUUUGAUAGGAUCAACACCCAAGAUUUAAAAAAAUUUACCAGCGAGCUUUUCCUUGUAACCUUUGGGCGAGAAACUCUUGCCACUCACUCUCUAAAUGGAAGAAAGGCACCCAAUGCAGAGACCAGCAAGGAGGCACUUCCAGCUCACACAGUGUCCGUCUUAAUAGACUAUAUCCAAAAGAAAUUCAGUGUGUCUUCAUCUGAUGUAAAGGCAGUCAUAAGAACCAAGCUUAACAACGAGGACAAGCUAUUCAAAAAACGAAACCUUCCUGAGUAAUGGAAAUAGACUAUAAAGUGUUUAUUUGCAAAUGAUUAAUUUAUUCAUUUAAUUUCUAACUCUCAGCCGUUUAUUUAAAGUUUAAAUUAAAAUAAAAAAAACAUGUAUUGUUACAUUGCAGUUUCACUGUUGUUUUGUACAUAAAUUCAUAUAUGUGUGAAAAUAAAACUAU